AUCCAAAGUGAUUCCCUCUCCAAAAGGCAAGUCCUAUCCCUUUCAUAAAAGCACUAUGUUGGAGGAAAAUCUCACAUCCCUGAAAUCUCAUGGGGACAAGGGAUGCUUCAUUCUUUAUGUGGCGAGUAGUAUCA
Cavia porcellus (domestic guinea pig) is the source of this 134-nucleotide small nucleolar RNA. Ensembl annotates it as small nucleolar RNA SNORA67. The record is from Ensembl. NCBI's taxonomy places the organism in Eukaryota, Metazoa, Chordata, Mammalia, Rodentia, Caviidae.